CCUACGGGAGGCAGCAGUGAGGAAUAUUGGUCAAUGGACGAGAGUCUGAACCAGCCAAGUAGCGUGAAGGAUGACUGCCCUAUGGGUUGUAAACUUCUUUUAUAUGGGAAUAAAAUGUUCCACGUGUGGGAUUUUGUAUGUACCAUAUGAAUAAGGAUCGGCUAACUCCGUGCCAGCAGCCGAGGUAAUACGGAGGAUGCGAGCGUUAUCCGGAUUUAUUGGGGUUAAAGGGAGCGUAGGUGGUUUGUUAAGUCAGUGGGGAAAUGUUGCGGCUCAACCGUAACAUUGCAGUUGAAACUGGCAGUCGUGAGUACAGUAGAGGUAGGCGGAAUUCGUGGUGUAGCGGUGAAAUGCUUAGAUAUCACGAAGAACUCCGGUUGCGAAGGCAGCUCACUGGACUGGAACUGACACUGAGGCACGAAAGUGUGGGUAUCAAACAGGAUUAGAUACCCUGGUAGUC
RNAcentral lists this ribosomal RNA (460 nucleotides) under uncultured bacterium. RNAcentral describes it as "partial 16S ribosomal RNA". It matches the Rfam family "Bacterial small subunit ribosomal RNA", at positions 338 to 795 of the family's 1533-position model. The record is from RNAcentral.